GAGUUGGACACCUGAACUUCAUGAGGUUUUUCUUGACGCUGUUAACCAGCUCGGUGGCGGUGGAAAAGCAACUCCUAAGGGUGUGUUGAAGCAUAUGAAUGUCUAAGGUUUGACUAUAUAUCAUGUCAAAAGUCAUUUGCAGAAAUAUUGGACAGCUAAAUAUAUACCAGAACCAUCAGAAGAUAAGGCCUGAUCUCGGAAGGAUCGAGAAAUAGGUGUUACGCAAUGCAUUCGAUGAUGAGAAAAACCCUUAUCUACCAAAGCACAUUCUAUACAGGCAGAAAGAACAGUUCAGUGAUGGAGUAGGAUACAGCUGGAUUGAUGGUCGAAAAGAUCAUGCAAACAAACAUGUCUCUGACACAAUGCUGAUGAACGCAAGCUUUGUCUUCCCUGAUAACACACCUAUGACAAAAGAAGCUUACUACUACAGAACCAUCUUUGAAAAGUUCUUCCCUAAGAGUGCAGCUAGAGCGACUGUACCAGGAGGUCCAAGUGUGGCAUGUAGUACAGAAAAAGCUGUAGAGUGGGACGCAGCUUGGUCACAGAAUCUUGAUCCGUCAGGUCGUGCGGCUCUUGGAGUUCAUGUUGCAGCUUAUGAGGGAGAAGAUAAAUCACAAGAUCCUCGUCCGGGGAAGGUGCAGAAACUAGCAGAGUUGUUUGAGGAUAAGCAAGGUUUAAAAGCUACCGUACUACUUAUCCUCUUUUGUAGGAUUGAUGACUGAAUAGGCAAUCUUUAUUCUUUCCUUCUGGGGUUUUGCAACACUCCAUGGAGACUGAGUUGAGUUAGCCCUGAAUUGUGUACCUAAGUAAUAAGUUGCUGGUGAAUUUAGUUUUCUACAGUUGUUAGACUAUGACUAUCCAUGAAAGCUUGAUGCUACUUGAGAUUAUUAACGUUGUUUUCAUGAAUUCGAUUCUUCCUAAUUUUUUUCUUCUAAACACAAAGUGUUUUGCUCAGUA
This is a non-coding RNA of Camelina sativa (false flax), 957 nucleotides long. NCBI's taxonomy places the organism in Eukaryota, Viridiplantae, Streptophyta, Magnoliopsida, Brassicales, Brassicaceae. The record is from RefSeq and is a predicted model, not a curated record.